Molecule: ribosomal RNA, 448 nt
Filed under: uncultured bacterium
Lineage: Bacteria
Description: bacterial SSU rRNA
Rfam family: Bacterial small subunit ribosomal RNA
Source: RNAcentral
AAUGAACGCUGGCGGCAGGCCUAACACAUGCAAGUCGAACGAGGUAGCAAUACCUAGUGGCGGACGGGUGAGUAACACGUGGGAACGUACCCUUUGCUACGGAAUAGCCCUGGGAAACUGGGAGUAAUACCGUAUGAGCCCGAGAGGGGAAAGAUUUAUCGGCAAAGGAUCGGCCCGCGUUGGAUUAGGUAGUUGGUGGGGUAAUGGCCUACCAAGCCGACGAUCCAUAGCUGGUUUGAGAGGAUGAUCAGCCACACUGGGACUGAGACACGGCCCAGACUCCUACGGGAGGCAGCAGUGGGGAAUCUUAGACAAUGGGGGAAACCCUGAUCUAGCCAUGCCGCGUGAUCGAUGAAGGCCUUAGGGUUGUAAAGAUCUUUCAGGUGGGAAGAUAAUGACUGUACCACCAGAAGAAGCCCCGGCUAAACUCCGUGCCAGCAGCCGCGGU